AAGGAAGGAAGGAAGGAGGAAUAGGAGCUUGUGACUAAUGUGGUCACCCGAAAUGCGUGACAGUAUUAUAGCACCCACAUAGUCACGUCUCUUCCCUGUGUGGGGUGUGCUUAGGAAAGUUACUGUGGAUCACACAAAGGUACAGUUUGCUAAGCGAAUGUACAGAUUAGGGAUUGCUAAAAUCUUCUUUCUUAUUUAAUUCAGGAGGGUCCCCUGCAGCCCAGAAGAAUAUGUUGGCUUUGCACAUUAAUGGAAUCAUUUCAGCUGCAGUAGUUUAAAUGCAAGGCAUGGGGUUUCCCCCCUAGUUCCUGCAAGUGCAGGAUUAUUCCCCACAGAGCAGUCACAAUGGCUUUAAAUUUCAAAUUUAAAGGAGGGGAGAAAAUGUCGCAACACUUUUUUUGGGUAGUCCCUCUCCCCGUUGUUAAUAAGCCUCUUUUGAUAAAUAUGCUAUUGCUAUGUUAACAUCAUCAUUAUUUGUGUGUUUGUGUGUGUGUGUGGGAAGCUGGGAAGCUGCCCAAAGUGGCUGGGGCAACCCAGUCAGAUGGGUGGGGUACAAGUAAUAAAUUAUUAUUAUUAUUAUUAUUAUUAUUAUUAUUAUUAUUAUUAGCAGAAAAGCUUUCAUUUUAUUCCAGCCCUAUCAAUUUCUUCGUGUGUGACUGAGCCAAGAGUAUACAUAAUGUGUCCUUUUUGUAAUAUGGUAUCCAUGAGUGGUGUGUUUGUGCUGGUGUAUUGAUUCCAUGUACCUCAUCCCUACAAGCCAGAAGGCUCCCACGUCAAAGCUGAACUGAUUUCCCAGUAGUAUAGCCUAGCGGGGGAUUCAGACUGUACAGAGCCUGGCUACAGUAGACCUGACCUGCAGUUUCUCAGAGGACAUUGUAUUGAGAAAAUAUCUGAGGGGGUUGUUGUUUUUUGCUCCCCCCAGCCUACAAAAAAGAAGGCCACUUUUCAGGAUUUUUUCUGAAUUUUCAUCAGCAUCUUUUUUUGUGGCAGCCACUAUCUCUUCCCCCCACCCCAUAAAAUGUCCUGGAAUGAUGUUAGAUCUAAAGCAGAGGUGGGAAAACUAUGGUCCUCCAGAUGUUGACAGACUACAGCUCUGACCACUGGCCCUGUUGGCUGGGAUUGACUGGAGUUGUCAUUCAACAGCAUCUGGUAGGCCACACAAGGAAAACAGCCAUUUAUCUGUCAACAGAUGGCUUAGGAUUUCCAUUUUCUUUUUAUGCAAUCUGUCUGUCCACCAGCCACAUCAUCAAAUGCAUUUUGUAGGAAUUUUACUGUUUGCAUCUCAGUACUUUGUGUUUUUAUUUUCUCAUCUUCCAAACACCAAUGAGUUUUUGAUUCCCUACUUUUUAAACUCUGUAUUCCAAACUUUAUGCCAUAAUAUAAUUGGUUAAGUCUUUAUAGUACCACAAGACUUUUCAUUUUGCUUUGCUACAAUGAUCAACAAGGCUACCUUUUUCGAAACCUAUCAAUAGAUGGUGUUUGUAAUAAGUCUGAUAGCUACCUCUGAUGAUAACUGAUCCAAGAAACUGUUGCCUAGAAUUGUCCUUUCCCCCAUAAACACCUUAAGAUGAAAGUAUUGAGGAUGUUUCAAGAGGAUGCACAAUAUUAUCCUCUCCCUAUUCUCAAAGCCUUUUUCUUUCAGCAGUUCUUCUGAGACGGUUCCCAGCUGCAUCUCAUUAUCUAUCAAGUUGUUUGGAAGCCUUGUUGAGCUGAGAAUGCCCAGCAGAAACAUAAGAAAUCAACAACAUUUUCUUUCUUCAAAAUACUGAUUAUGCUAAUCAUCUCUGUUGAUAUCAAAAGAAUAUCCUACGAGAUGCUAGAAUGACCAUUUUUCACCAGUGGUUUAAGGAAACCAAGAGGCACAAAAACUGAAAUGCAAAACAUCUCUCAGAUUUAUGGUCCAAGUGAUCCAGUCUUCUGGAACAGUAUUCCUAGCACCUGAAUACUAUUACUAUACUUUACCAUCUAAGGUUACUCAGUCCCAUAGUACCAGCCAGGAUAUUGUUAUAUUGACAAGUCUGUAAGAGAGAUUCAGUAUACUAACUGGGCUGGUUUUGGGUAUUUGAGGCCUGUGGAUAAGUACUUGUAGCUGUUCAGCCAACCACUGAACAGCUUAUAUUGUUUCAUCAGCUGCAUUUUGUUCUGUAUAUUGUGCUUUUAAUAUUUAAUCUUUUCGUUUUGUACAUUACCAUGUCUUUUAAUAUGUACACUGCUUUGAGACUUUGGUAAAAUGGUGGCGCAAAAAUGUUUUAAAUAAGUAAAUAAAUAAAUAAAAAGAUACCACUUCUCUUACAAAAUGACCAAGAAAUAUACCAUAUUUUUCCGUGUAUAAGACUACCCCCAUUUUGGGGGACCCCAAUUGAAUAAAAUGGGGGGAGAUGGCCCAGAGCUGAUUGAGCUUUUUUGGGGGUGGGAAUGCCGAAAAUCACUCACACGACUGACAUACGCUGACAAUCGCACACGUCGUAGAUGCCACCAACCAUUUGCCUGCUUGACGCCAGACGGCAAUCGCACCCCCUGAUUUUUUACAUUAUUUCCGAGGAAAAAAACCUUGUCUUAUACACAGAAAUGUAUGGUAAUUUACUCUAAGGUACUGCCCAGUUAAAAUGUCUGGUUAUGGUAGGAGAACAUUACCCCCACUGAACUGCAGCACCAGAGCUACUGCUGUGUUCCCAAAGGCCAUUGACAUCUACAUCUCUUUCCUUUAAUGAUAUUUUGUGCAUGCAUUGCUACAUGGUGGCCUAGGCUAGAAAACUUGUGAGGUUGGUGGUGUAGGGCAGGAAGGGAAGGGGAAGAGGUUGGUUGGGUCUCCUGUAAGCCACAGUUCACCUCUUGGGGAUCAGUUCAUGUUUUGUGCUUUUCUUAGCCACUGAUGGAUGUGCACAGUUUUGAGGUGAACGCUCUAAGAGGCUGAGUCAUCACUGAGGUGAAUGCUCUAAGGGGUUGAGUCAUCAAUCCCACUGAGAAAAGAAAAUAUCUGUCUUGAGAGUGAGAUAUUUGUUCUGGAACUUCUUAAAAGGAGAUUUAAUGGUGAGCAGAAGCUGCGUUGUGGAGUUUCCUUUGUGUCUGCAUGUACCUCUAGAGGCUGUAUCACUCCUUUUGUUACAGUGACAUCCCACGGAAAGGACUGACAUGUUGUUGAAAUUCUACAUGAAUUUGAAUUUCGGGUGUCUCCCCCCCCAGCAAUAUUUACUCCCAGUGCAAAUGUUUUAGGGCCAGUUAAUUUACACCUGGGAGGAUAGUAACUCACUGUGACUGAGCUUUCAGUUCACUGAAUAAUGUGGUUCAUUAUUUAUGUGGCAUAUUAGGAAUAGAUCAUUGACUAGCAUCUGUGGUUAAGCCCCAGCAGAGGGGAGAUUAACAUGUUUUGCAGCUUGGAAUAAUCUUCCCUCACCUCCAGACCAUGCAAACUCUUUUACCUACAAAGCGAUGAAGUGACUGCUUUGAAAGUUGACAAUUUAUACUAAGUAUUAUAAUACAGCAAUAUAUAAUUUACUGUUGUGCUACAUAUUUCAACUUCCAGAGUACUUUCAGGCAAUAAGGGAUGGAGGCAGAAAUUCAGUCCUACCGUUCCAAAGCACUCAUAGCUAGAAAAAUCUUACCUACACCUCACAGUGAUUUAUUCAGAUUGGUCAUCCAUAUUGGCAGUUUGAGGUGUAUAGCAAUGUGGAACAAUGAAGCUAAUUAAAUAACCAUUAAAUGCAAACCAUACUUGUGGCUUCCCAGUCAGUAUGAUAACCUUUGAUGUACCGUGGGGUCCUUAAGAAGGUCCUUCUCCCUUUUGAAACCUAGCACCCCUUGGCAGUCGCAAGGAAGACCAGCAUAGCUGGGCAUCUUCACAGCUCACCUUUGUCACCAUAAUUAAAUCAACAAUAAAAUAGCCCAGUGGAUGGUUAACUGACUUCACCUAUUGAACACAGAAUAGUAAGACUCUCCAGUAGUUUGGCUAAAAGUUCCAAGGCAAGGAUGCGGGAUGAGAUUCUAUAGGUUAUUCAGGAUCAAAUGACACCAGCCAUACUUUAACCAAGGAACUUGAUCUAUUAACAAAAUACAGUGGUACCUCGGGUUAAGUACUUAUUUCGUUCCGGAGGUCCGUUGUUAACCUGAAACUGUUCUUGACCUGAGGUACCACUUUAGCUAAUGGGGCCUCCUGCUUUCUGUUCUUACCCUGAAGCAAAGUUCUUAACCUGAAACACUAUUUCUGGGUUAGCGGAGUCUGUAACCUAAAGCGUAUGUAACCCGAGGUACCAAUGUAGACAGAAUGUUGUAAGAUUCUCAGGACCUGGGACGAAACACCUCUGGCUCUUUCUGCCUGAGGCUCAGGACUCUUCUUAGGCCACACCCCCUCCCAAGCCACAUCCCUCACUAGCGUGCUUUUCAGCCUCUUUGAGUGUUUUAGCCUGACUGGAACAUGUUCUUGAAUUCUGACAGUGCCUCUUGCCUGCCUGGCUGGAGGAUAGAGAGGGCUGUGUAGGUGUAUGUAGAAACAACAAAGGUGAAAUUUACAUUAGUUGCUCCGCCCACUUUUGCCUCUGGGCCCGCCCAUUUAUUAAUUAAUUAUUUCAUAGAAUUUAUACACCACUCGAUUGUAAAGAACCUCAUUGUAAAGAAUGGACAAUGUUUAUUGAAUAUUUUAAGAACCAGUAUGAACAAAUACAUAGCUUAGCAGGUCUCGAGUAAAUCCAGCAGAGUUGAAAUAGAGUAUUUAAUAGAUAACAAACUGGAUGAUUAAAAAGAUGUGGAUUACGCGGAGUAGUAGAAGAGCAAAGGAACCAGGAAAAGGGUGGAAGGGAAGUCAUACUGUAUAUGUAUACGUGCUGUAUUUGGUACGAAGUUAUAAGUGGGACAGGAGGAGGGGAGGGAGGGUUAAAUAUGCUCUCUGCUCCUGUUUUUGAAAAUGCAAAUAAAAUGAAAUAAUAAAAAAGAAUCUCAUAGCAAUAUACAGAGAAGAUGAGGUUAUCAAUGGAAACAAUUAACAACAAUAAUUAAAAUAUUCAGAAAAUAAAAAAUCAACAAUAAACUGAAAUGUGCAUGUGGCCCUUGGAAGGUUUCAUGUGGCCCUUAGGCUAAACAGGGCUACCAAUCCAUGUUGUAGAUGUUAGGGAAGCCAACUGACUACUUCUUUAAGGGAGGAGAUCCCAUCCAGUUCUUGUGGGGUGGAGUACAAUGCAUAUUCAGGCUACUAAUUCUGUUCAGCAACUGCCUGCUUUUGCUACCUGCACAGUAUUGCAAAAACAUCUGGAGGCAGGCCACAGCCUGGAAACCCAGCCAGAUGGGCAGGGUAUAAAUAAUAAAUUAUUAUAAUUAUUAUGGUGGGUUACAAGUUGUGCCGGGGAAAGGAAAAGGAAGCUAAGCUAAAUGAACUAAGCUCAUGAGCAUAUGCCUGUGGACUCCUUUGGGAAACCACAGUUCUUAACUCUGUGAACAUAGCCCACACCUCUGUCUUCAAGGCCUGUCAUUCUUCUUCCCAACACCUGCUUCUUCCACCACUUUUCAGGAUGUUUUUCUGGAGCUUCAAUAUGUGUGAGGAGCUGCUGGCACCAGACGCACUGAGAUUUUUCUUUUAAAAAAGGAAAUAUACAACACCAAAAUAAUGAAGUCUACCUACAUUGCACACAAAGAGAAGCUGUGCGGUGGGAAUCCUGCCGUGAAACCACUUCAGAU
RNAcentral lists this long non-coding RNA (5664 nucleotides) under Podarcis lilfordi (Lilford's wall lizard). Lineage: Eukaryota; Metazoa; Chordata; Lepidosauria; Squamata; Lacertidae. The record is from RNAcentral.